UGCAGUCGAGCGGUAACAGGAAUUAGCUUGCUAAUUUGCUGACGAGCGGCGGACGGGUGAGUAACGCGUAGGAAUCUGCCUGGUAGUGGGGGACAACAUGUGGAAACGCAUGCUAAUACCGCAUACGCCCUACGGGGGAAAGGAGGGGAUCUUCGGACCUUUCGCUAUCAGAUGAGCCUGCGUGAGAUUAGCUAGUUGGUGGGGUAAAGGCUCACCAAGGCGACGAUCUCUAGCUGGUCUGAGAGGAUGAUCAGCCACACUGGGACUGAGACACGGCCCAGACUCCUACGGGAGGCAGCAGUGGGGAAUAUUGGACAAUGGGCGCAAGCCUGAUCCAGCCAUGCCGCGUGUGUGAAGAAGGCCUUCGGGUUGUAAAGCACUUUCAGAGGUGAGGAAGGGUGUGCCGUUAAUACCGGUAUGCUUUGACGUUAGCCUCAGAAGAAGCACCGGCUAACUCUGUGCCAGCAGCCGCGGUAAUACAGAGGGUGCGAGCGUUAAUCGGAAUUACUGGGCGUAAAGCGCGCGUAGGCGGUUUGUUAAGUCGGAUGUGAAAUCCCCGGGCUCAACCUGGGAAUUGCACCCGAUACUGGCAGGCUAGAGUACGGUAGAGGGGUGUGGAAUUUCCUGUGUAGCGGUGAAAUGCGUAGAUACAGGAAGGAACAUCAGUGGCGAA
RNAcentral lists this ribosomal RNA (673 nucleotides) under uncultured Marinomonas sp. RNAcentral's name for it is "bacterial SSU rRNA". It matches the Rfam family "Bacterial small subunit ribosomal RNA", at positions 56 to 719 of the family's 1533-position model. Lineage: Bacteria; Pseudomonadati; Pseudomonadota; Gammaproteobacteria; Oceanospirillales; Oceanospirillaceae. The record is from RNAcentral.